This 314-nucleotide RNase P RNA is filed under the name Legionella maceachernii. RNAcentral's name for it is "partial ribonuclease P RNA". It matches the Rfam family "Bacterial RNase P class A", at positions 18 to 314 of the family's 367-position model. From Rfam's summary of the family: Ribonuclease P (RNase P) is a ubiquitous endoribonuclease, found in archaea, bacteria and eukarya as well as chloroplasts and mitochondria. The record is from RNAcentral. Lineage: Bacteria; Pseudomonadati; Pseudomonadota; Gammaproteobacteria; Legionellales; Legionellaceae.
CGCUCUUUGUGUACCACGAAGGGAGGAAAGUCCGGGCUCCAUAGGGCAGAGUGCCAGGUAACGCCUGGGAGGUGUGAGCCUACGGAAAGUGCCACAGAAAAUAUACCGCCUGUUCAUUUAGCAGGUAAGGGUGAAAUGGUGCGGUAAGAGCGCACCGCGCGAUUGGUAACAGUCGUGGCAGGGAAAACCCCACUCGGAGCAAGACCAAAUAGGAAUCCUACUUACCUUUGGUAAGAGCGUACGGCCCGUACGGGAUUCGGGUAGGUUGCUUGAGGCAUGUGGUGACGCAUGUCCCAGAUGAAUGAUUGUCCGCG